GGAGUUUUGUAACAUUUUGUCAUAUUGAAUUCACUGAUACUUAGGUCUGAGCAUUAGGUCGCUGAGGAUCCCCAACUACCAGCUAAAAUCACUGGGAGCUGUGUUGUGGAGGGAGUUUGAAGGCAACAUUGGAACAGGUGGCACAUAUAGAAGCUGAGAAACUGGCCCCAGAAGUGCUGGGGAAGACUGCAGUCACUCUCUGGAAAGGAGGAGGAGUGUUAGAGGCUGUAGAGAAUGGCCAGGAGGAGGUGCCCUACCUGCAGUGAGUGGAGAACCCUGUCACAGGAGUGAUUAGAAAAAUCCACUGAGGUUGUAACACCUCCAGAGAAGUACCACCCACCACCUGCAGAGGCUCACAUAAAUUGCUUCAAACAGGAUUCUGCAGAGACCAACAAAGAGAGGAC
Mauremys mutica (yellowpond turtle) is the source of this 404-nucleotide long non-coding RNA. RefSeq lists it as uncharacterized. The transcript has 3 exons. The record is from RefSeq and is a predicted model, not a curated record. Lineage: Eukaryota; Metazoa; Chordata; Testudines; Geoemydidae.